This is a long non-coding RNA of Centrocercus urophasianus (Greater sage-grouse), 4967 nucleotides long. RefSeq lists it as uncharacterized. The record is from RefSeq and is a predicted model, not a curated record. Lineage: Eukaryota; Metazoa; Chordata; Aves; Galliformes; Phasianidae. The transcript is spliced from 3 exons.
GUGAUUUUCCGGGGCGCUCUCUUGGUUUUUAAUUCAUUUUUCCUCCGAGGAAAAGAUAACAAAACCAGGCGAGUCCCGUCGACCAAAGCAAGGCGAGUUUCAUCCCACAGCCGGCCCCCAUCCCAAGAGCAGGGUUCAAGCAGGGAAACACACGGUCCAAUAGAGCCAUGCUGGGUCCACUCCUGGUUGGCCACUGAUCUUCUGCUAGUAUCAGUGGCCUAAACAUCAGAAAAGGAUUUGGAGGUGAGAAUGCAACACCACGACUGGGUCUGGAGCUACCUGCACCUGCAAAGGAAAAAUGAGAUCAUCUGGACAACAGGACACAAAGACCCACCCCGUAGGGGUGCUCAUAGCCCAAGGCCCUGCUCUGAUGUAAUUGUAUCCAUCAUCCAUCGUGGGAGAAGCCCCCUGUUGGACUUCAGUCUGAAUCCAGCUGGUGUGGGGUCACCUGGGAGCUGCUGGGACUGUUCAUAGCACUCCCAGCCUCGCAGCGUUGGGGCCCAGAUGUCAGACUGGUUUUGACAGAUGGAUAAAGCAGCAGGGCAGAGGUGGGCAGGAGCACACAGGCAGGAAACAGACCGAGUUGUAGCACUGAGCAAGGAAAUCCAAAACGGACAGACACUAAUUCCCACACAUGCUUUAUCACUCGGGGUGAUAUAGGAUAGUAAUGGCAACCACGCAAACAGGAUGAGUCUCUCUUUACAAUGACACAAUGCAGAGGGAGUAAACCACACUUUCUCUGUACCUCAGCCACCCUGGGACAAGCUAUGGGUAUGGGAUUGAGGAGCUCUCCAGUUCCUCUCCCACCAAUUGCUGCAGCAAGCAACCCAAAGCACCCCCCAGCAUCUGAGCUAGGAUUUCUGAGGGAUGCUGCCAUGACACACACCUGGCACUGAAAUACUUCAGCAACAACCAAACAUAGGUGGGUUUCCUUUGCUGAAAGCUGGCCAGGUAGUACUGCUUUGAUAUGGAAGCAGUUGGACCCAUCUCUAUUCCCAGCCUCAUCACAUCGCUGCCUGAAUCCAGUCAUGCUCUCAGCUCCCAGGCAGAGAACUCUACAGAAGCUCCCAUCACAUCUCAGCUCCUCUUUCUUCACAGAGAGUAUAGGCAAAGUGUUUACCAAGCUGGGAACACUGGGAAAAAGUGUCCAAAAAAACCCAAAACAAAACAAAAAAACCAACCACCUUAUAAGCCACUCUUCACCUUUGUGAAGUCUCUCCCCCAAGAUAGCUAUCUAAGAUUUUCUUCCCAAAAUAAUACUGUUAAGUGAAGCAUGAAUUUAUUUAAACUGAAGGGAAAUAGAAAAAGAUUGAAGUUACAGAAAACCAUGACUUCCAAGGGCAAAAUUUGGUUUUGAGUUUUAGAGAUUUGACUUCCAUGAACUUCAGUACUUUCUUUACAAGUAAAACCUCACGAUGUGAGGGACAUCAAUAUUUAAAUUUACUUUUUCUCCUGAAAUGAUUUAUAAAAGUCCAUUUUCUGCCCCAUCUCCACAUCCCACUGCCAAAACCCAAGCACAAGGCAAGACCAAGCUGGUGGCUCAGCAAUCCCUCCCACUGCCUUCAACAUACUGAGAAGAGCAAAGAGCCACAGUUGUGCACAGGGUUUAAUCAGGAACACAUAGAUAUCUGUUUUCAUAAAACAACUAAGAAGCCACUAUGAUUGCUGCAGUGCAAUCACAGCACAGGUCAGAGAAGAGUCUCUUGGUGAAGCUGCCCUAACAGAGCACUGCUCAGAGCAGAGCACACCCACGUAUGCUCUCUUGUUCAUGAGGGAUUCCAGCCACGCGGUCCACAGAAAUGGUGAAGAAACCAUGACACAGCAUGACUGGGAACAUCCCCUACAAGAGCAGAUCUUUCCAAGGAACUUUGGCGUAUCGCUUAGAAACCACCCCAUCCCAUCAGAGCCCUGAUGCACACUGUCCAGGUUCCUCAGAGUAGGGAGACUACAGUUUUUAACCUGUCAUCCUGCACGGUCAUUCUGCAAGGCUCAUACGUGAAAUUUUGGCAUUUCCAUCAUGGAAACAGGCAACUAGGCUCAUUUCCUCCUCUCACCACCAGACUGAUUAGCUGCAAGCCCAGGCAGACAGCUGAAAUCCCAUCUUGCUUACUUCCUACUCACUCUCUUUUUCCUCUGGUAAUGCUCCUGCCAGGAGUGAUUUCAUUCACUCCUAACAUAAUGGCCUUUUCCCUCCCCUUAGGCCAGGAGCACACCUCUGUCAUGGAGAAUUUCCCUCUGUCUUGUACCUUCCACCCCAUCUGCCUGUAGCUGGGCUGGCAGGUUGGGUUUUUUCACUCUGUUUAAAAUGCUUUUGAAACAAAGGCUCUUUAAUCCCCCUUGGCCUGGCCAGGCACCUCUGUCAAUCCCAUCCUGAUAGUGCAGGCAAAGGAAGGAUCUCACAUGGAGAUGCUCAUGAGGUGGUAGAACCAAGUGUGAUGUUGCUUGGAGAGCAAACUCCUAGAACCACGUCCUAACGCCUGGCAGAAGGGACAAGGCCAGGAGCAGGACAUCUGCCUCCACAUUCCCCAGCCCUUCUGCCCAAAGUGGGGACAUCUUGUCUAAUAUCUGUGCUGCUUGAGAAGUUGAUUUUCUAGAGAGGAGAUAUCCUGGCUUAGAUUUUAGAGACCUCAUCUGCUUUUGAGAGCAUCCCACAGAUGAUCGAUGACUAAAAGUUCACACAAAAGGAAAUUUCAAGAAAAGGGUCUUCAGCCACAAUAGGCCAUUGCUCAUCACAUAAUUUCCCCAUGAUAAGGCAAGAGAGGCAAUUCAGACUCAAAUCAGACUGGACAACUGUGAAUCACAGCGUUUGUCUCACAUUCCUCCUAGCCAAAACUAUCCCUGCUCAGUCCUGCUUGGGGCUGGGAGUAUCAACCCAGAAACCUUUUCAUUAUUUUGGAGGUCCACAGAAAUCCACUGAAACCUUCUCCACUUCUGAAAAGCUGUGGUCACCGGGAUCCUCCACCUGGGAUGGGAACCUCCACAUCUCGGCAGCACUGGAUGCAGGGAGGCAGAUGACACCAGCACCAGAUCCCAUCAGAGUUGGGUGCACAGGAAAAGCAGAUUGUAGUUCACCCAUCGCCUCUUAGUUCUGGAGAUCCCCACACAUCACUUCUGCUCCUGCCUCAGUGGAUACAAACCCAGCUGCAUCUUGCCUUGUCAGGACAUGGGAUUUGCCUAAUUGCUUCUGCUUGGAUGAGUCCAUGCCAGGCUUGGUCUAUCUAUAAGAGAGGCUUGGAUCUCCAACAUCUCCUUCUAUUGGCUUUACACUGUCAUGCCUGCAGCUCUCAGGGCUGCUCCACAACCCACUUUUCCUGCUCACAACCCUCACCCCACAGCACUGACACUCAGCUCACUGGUCUGCCCAACUUGUGUUAGGAAAUCCCAUAGGCAACACAGAGCUGGCUUUGCCUUGCAAAGUCACAAAGGCCCAAGGCUGGCAGUUGCUAAUUAUUCUUUCGCUGCUUGCUGUCUUCUUAAGGAGCUGGGGGCUGGAUGUGGGCAGCCAACAAAAACCCAGGGGAUGGACAACAAACAGAGCAUCAGGGAAAGCUUUUUACCAGGCAGGUGGCCUUGCUGUAAGCAUCCUGGAAGACAGGUGCUAGCCCCCAUCCCAGGGUUGCCAAUCAUGUUUCCAUCACAAGUUUUUCAGAUGGGCAAGGAUUUGUUCACAUUUCAUCAUUAUUCAUUUUUUUUUUUCCUUGGACCAUGGUUGAGAAGCCCUGGUUGCAAAGCUCAGUGUGAAAACCACGAUCCUUCUUGCACAACCCAGAAGGCAAAGAAUGACCUAGCAUUGCUCAUGGUGGUGAAAAAGCAGAUGGAUGGGAUGGAUGCCCCAUUUCUUUUUGAGCUAAUCUCAAGAGUUCGGCUGCCUGAGAGAAAAGCCUGAAAAGCUUUGGGUCCAUGAUGGCCAGCUGCCAGGAGCACAGCCCAGUGUUGGCCAGAGCCUAUAGAAAGGAUGUUAGCACAGCCAGACUGUGGCCCUUGGCUGCUGUAGACACACUGUCAUCUCUCCACCAAAAGGAGACCAAACAACUAACCAAACAGCAGCACAUAUCUUCCAUCAGCAGGCACAGGCGCAGCAGACAUCGAAGCCUUUGCUAAAUGCACUCGUGGGCCACCAGCUGAGAGCUGGCAUUGGGCUAAUUACAUCAAAAUUCAUUAAGUCAAUUACUGCCUGUGUUCCCAAGGGGCUGAAGAGGGAUUCCAGCAAGUGCUGAGCACACUGCAGCAGUGCAGUGCCAGGAGGCUCUGUCUCUUUCAGUGGCCCAAGCAGGAUGCAGUCACCAUUUCCGUCCUAUACUUGGGGAUCUUCCCGACAAACCAUUUGGGAAGCAGGAUGGGAAAGAGCCUUAAGAAUUAGGAAACCACUGGAGGGUAUUUUUCACGUGGGACAUCUUUGCUCAACAACACAGAAUGCACCUGAGGAGAUGACAGCUGCUGACCAUUGCUAAACAGCAUCACUUGGAGAGGAAGGAUCAGAAAAGAGGACAGUACGAGCUUAUACCCAACACUCCCACCUCCCCACGUUGCCUUGGAGGUGCAUGAAAUCAUUAACCUGUACAAAGGGACAGACGGGGAGCAUCACUGACAGAUGCCAGCACUUCUGGCUGCACAGCUCUGAAAUUAUGGGACCAGAGCUUUGAGAUGCAGCAGAGCACUGCAGUGCACUGCCAACAGCCCACACCAACAGCCACAGACCAAAAGGCAGCAGCCACAUCACCAUUGGCCUGGGCUUCACGUGUCACUGAUUGACUCAGGUUUUAAUUACACCCCAAUAUCCCCCUGUCUCCUACAACACAAAGCUUUCAGCCAGGCAGAGAUUCAUAAAGAGCAGCAGCAACCACAGCAGCCCAGCCUUCAAGUCAGAUGCUAACAGCUUUGGACAAGUGUGGGAUUUUUAUACCCCUAUCUGCAGAGAAAUCUGAUGUUUAGUGCCCUGACUGCAAACAGGUCACCCUUAAACCCCU